RNAcentral lists this ribosomal RNA (422 nucleotides) under uncultured archaeon. Its description in RNAcentral is "partial 16S ribosomal RNA". It matches the Rfam family "Archaeal small subunit ribosomal RNA", at positions 323 to 746 of the family's 1478-position model. The record is from RNAcentral.
CUACGGGCCGCAGCAGGCGAGAAAACUUUGCAAUGUGCGAAAGCACGACAAGGUUAAUCCGAGUGGUUUGUGCUAAACGAACCUUUUGUCAGUCCUAGAAACACUAACGAAUAAGGGGUGGGCAAGUUCUGGUGUCAGCCGCCGCGGUAAAACCAGCACCUCAAGUGGUCAGGAUGAUUAUUGGGCCUAAAGCAUCCGUAGCCGGCUCUGUAAGUUUUCGGUUAAAUCUGUACGCUUAACGUACAGGCUGCCGGGAAUACUGCAGAGCUAGGGAGUGGGAGAGGUAGACGGUACUCGAUAGGAAGGGGUAAAAUCCUUUGAUCUAUUGAUGACCACCUGUGGCGAAGGCGGUCUACCAGAACACGUCCGACGGUGAGGGAUGAAAGCUGGGGGAGCAAACCGGAUUAGAUACCCUAGUAGUC